GACGAACGCUGGCGGCGUGCUUAACACAUGCAAGUCGAACGGUAAGGCCCUUCGGGGUACACGAGUGGCGAACGGGUGAGUAACCCGUGGGUGAUCUGCCCUGCACUUCGGGGUAAGCCUGGGAAACUGGGUCUAAUACCGGAUAGGACUCCUGGCUUCAUGGUUGGGGGUGGAAAGCUUUUGCGGUGUGGGAUGGGCCCGCGGCCUAUCAGCUUGUUGGUGGGGUAAUGGCCUACCAAGGCGACGACGGGUAGCCGGCCUGAGAGGGUGACCGGUCACACUGGGACUGAGAUACGGCCCAGACUCCUACGGGAGGCAGCAGUGGGGAAUAUUGCACAAUGGGCGCAAGCCUGAUGCAGCGACGCCGCGUGAGGGAUGACGGCCUUCGGGUUGUAAACCUCUUUCAGCUAUGACGAAGCGCAAGUGACGGUAGUAGCAGAAGAAGGACCGGCCAACUACGUGCCAGCCGCCGCAGUAA
Molecule: ribosomal RNA, 478 nt
Filed under: uncultured bacterium
Lineage: Bacteria
Description: partial 16S ribosomal RNA
Rfam family: Bacterial small subunit ribosomal RNA
Source: RNAcentral